GGCUUGGUGGUGGAUGGUCCACACCUGCAAGAAUUGGACUAGCUCCCGGAAAUUUGAUUUAGCAGGAGGAGCGUGUUCGAAUCACGCCUGAGCCG
This is a non-coding RNA of Mycena leptocephala, 95 nucleotides long. Lineage: Eukaryota; Fungi; Basidiomycota; Agaricomycetes; Agaricales; Mycenaceae. The record is from the annotation of a GenBank genome assembly.